Edhazardia aedis is the source of this 71-nucleotide transfer RNA. It matches the Rfam family "tRNA". Rfam says of the family: Transfer RNA (tRNA) molecules are approximately 80 nucleotides in length. Their secondary structure includes four short double-helical elements and three loops (D, anti-codon, and T loops). Further hydrogen bonds mediate the characteristic L-shaped molecular structure. tRNAs have two regions of fundamental functional importance: the anti-codon, which is responsible for specific mRNA codon recognition, and the 3' end, to which the tRNAs corresponding amino acid is attached (by aminoacyl-tRNA synthetases). tRNAs cope with the degeneracy of the genetic code in two manners: having more than one tRNA (with a specific anti-codon) for a particular amino acid; and 'wobble' base-pairing, i.e. permitting non-standard base-pairing at the 3rd anti-codon position. Lineage: Eukaryota; Fungi; Microsporidia; Culicosporidae. The record is from Rfam.
GGAUUUAUGGUGUAGCGGUAGCACUCAGGACUUUGACUCCUGCAACCCGGGUUCGAACCCCGGUAAAUCCU